This is a non-coding RNA of Doryrhamphus excisus (bluestripe pipefish), 1696 nucleotides long. Lineage: Eukaryota; Metazoa; Chordata; Actinopteri; Syngnathiformes; Syngnathidae. The record is from RefSeq and is a predicted model, not a curated record.
ACAUAAAUUACAUUAAAUAGAAAAAAAAACAAGCAGGAAUGUAGUGGUAGUAAUACUAGACGUAAUUAUUGGCAAAUUUAAGUACUUUAAGCAAACAAGCAAUGAAAACCUCUUUGGGACAUUUUUGGUUACAUACCAUAUUUUUGGUUUCGCCUGCGGUACAUCCAGUCAGAAUUGCAAGUGAGAAAGCAAAAUGGCCGCCACCCCCUCCACCUCCAUUGGGCAUUGUCAACAGGAAGGGAGGGCCAGGUGGCGGGCCGUAUCUCUUUGGACUAGAAGCUUUACAUACAGAAAUAGAGAAAAUGAAGAGAGGCAGUAGAGUUCCCCUCCCCUUGAUGAACAAGCUAACGUGCGUCGUCCAAGCUACACGAUCCAUCUCCAACAUGAAUCAUCUCACCCUCCCUCCACCUAUCAUCACGCUUUGGUACAAGUGCUGGACGCUGAAGAUUGGGCACCGGGACUGGCUCCGUCGUCUGUCCAUUUGUCCAGGCUCCGGCGGCGGGCGUUCAUGAAGAAGUUGCUGACGGUGGUGAGUUCGAGGCCCAGCUGCUGUGAGAUGGUGAGCUGCAUCUCCUUGGAAGGCCUCUUGUUUUCCUUGAAGAUGGCCAGCAAGGUGCGACGUUGUAGGUCGGUGAAGACCAACCGAGAUUUCUUUGGUGUGUUGUUCCGCUCCUUCGCUGUAUCCUGCUCCUUCCGUUUGCACGCUAUGGACCAUGGGAAAGAGGAGAUAAUAAAUAAAUUCAGUUAGAUGGAAAGCUAUUACUAGUUAAACAUGACUUAAUAGUUAAACAUCACUAAAUAUCACAACACAUCAGAUACCUCAAAGAAUCGUCCAAAUAUGCCAUAUAUUUAUGCUUCAUACAAGACUCUAUGGCACUUGUUAAUACAUCACAGUAAAUAAAUAAUGCUAUUUGCUACAUAUAUACAUGGCCUUGGAUAGCAUGUCAAUGAAACCCUAUGUAUAGUCACAAGAAGUAAACGAUUCUAUUAACCUUUAUGUAGGCCCUAAACAAUAAAUAUAACAACACCUUUCUCUAUAAGGUGUCUGCAGUUGUAUCUUAGCCAAUUCAGGAGCAGGAGGUGGAGGGGGAUUUGAUUUGAUUAGCUCUUUGAAUUAAGUAUGCACUAGUCACAAGCCAACCAAUCAAUACAAAUGAUGUUAAGGCCUCAAAUCAGUGACAAAACUAUUAUGUAAGAGGAAGCUCUCCCUGCGACAUCCUUCUUCUUGCCUCUUUUCAGCUUUUUGUCACACUCCUAAACCUAAAGUCUAGUUUUGGAACAUAGAGUGUGUGGCUGUUAUCUGAUGAUAAUAUUAGAGUCACAUCUAUACUUAACACAACAACUGUACUACUACUAAAAAUGCGAUAAUACUGUUUACUAUGUAUUGUUAUUACUAAUACUGUAUAUAUUACUGUAAAAAAAUGUCUGCCUGAUGUUGACAUAGUCUCAGUUGACAAAUUAACAAUGAUCAUUUGAAAGCAGCUCAGCAGCAGACAAUGUUUUGAAAAAAGUGCAGACACAUUUACGUGUAAAAAGAGUGGCAUCACAAUCACUCAGCGACACACACAAACACAGACUGAGCACGCUUGAGUGAUUCAAUCAUGCUUUUUUUUCACCCCCGUGUCGGAGUUACAGUGAGGAUCAAAUGUGCAAUUGUAUUAUUCAAAAGGAAUUUACCUGUCUGCGAACACAAGGG